GUCAGAGUUUAUUUCAUCGGCUAACAUUCAUUCUCGACCUAGACAAAAACAAUUAGAUGAUUAUGACUUGCUUUUCCAUCAUCAACUCAUUUUUUUUUGUUAUGAAUAACCAAAACAUUUCUUCUCAACACUUUUUUUUAAGAAGCUAUAAAUAAAUAAAGCUUUAAACGAUCCUGGGUUCAAGUUAAACAGUUCCAGUUCCCGAAAAGUUCACAGCCUUGUUUCGUGGGCAGUUCUGCUGUUCCUGGCUUCCCCCUCCAGGAAGGGACGUUUGCAGGCCUGGGGGUCCUGGUGACUAAGCUGUUAGCUCCACUGCCUGCCUGCUUCCGUCCUCGCAGCCCUGGGAGGGCCCUGGGGGACAGAGUUCUUACAAUUUAGGAGAUGCUGCUGGCCAAGGAACCGUUGACCCAAAGCAGGUGGCCUGAACGGGAAGUGCCAGGCUGGAGACUCAGGGGCUGAGGGCACUGCCAGUUGCCACCACCUCGGGACACCUCAGCCCGGCGCGGGCCGAGACUGCUUUCCAAACGCAGCGGAGACUGAGACGAGACCCGUGCUUCCGUGUGAGUUGGGCUGCAGGGCAUAAGUUAACACAUACUCCAAUAUGUACAAAACAACCUGCGCUUGGGCCUGUGCACCCAGGACGCCCGUGGCCAGGUGAGGCCACCUUGAGCCAGGCCUCUGGCUGGGUGUCCACCUCCUGCCAGCAGGCCAAGGUGCCCCAUGUGGCUUGUGCAAGACCCCAGGCUCCCCUGAACAUGCUCCUCCCAGGAGUGCACCCACCCCAGUGUCGAGUGUCCGAGCAGAUUCCCAUUGACCCUGACCUCCCUUUGAAAGAACCACACCACUGCAUCCCCUUGGCACUCACUUCCUUAGUGCGAUGCAUCCACCCAGGGAGGUGCCCCUGCGCCAGCACGCUGCCCACCCUACCCUGUUGACUGCCCUGUCCUUGGACCCCAAAGUAAAAUGGGGCCAGCGUAGGAGGCCUGAGGGUGGGGCCAUAUGCCACACCUCCAGGGGUAGCAGCCUCAUCUGACCACACCUUCGCCUUCUUGUGCUGCAGAAGGCGCUUGCUCCCAAGCCCGUGGUGACUCACAUCUCUACCCCACAGUGGGGCAGCUGCGGUGGCUGAGUGAAAGCUGGGGCAGGAGAAAGGGCCCCUGCCAACCCCAGCCAGGCGGCUUGCAGAGCCCACUGCCCUGCAUCGGAGUCAGCCUGCGGCCUGAGCACACCCGUCUGCCCUCUGGGGGACCCAGGGCGCCUGUGGGGGCCCUCCUAGAGACACCAGCCUGGCCUCCUAGGGCAUAAGGGGUGGGGAUAGGGCACAGGGCACGUGCUUACAGCGGAUAUGCAACAUGGCUUUUACUAGGGCCACUGCAGCCAGUGGGGAACCCUGCGGGGCUGCUGGGAACAGAGCUUGGCCAGCCUUUUGCCAGGGGGUGGGCAGCUCGGGGAAACGCAAGGAGAGCCAGGGUGGGGAGGGCUGAGUACCUGGUGUCAGGGAGGCCACCUACAGCUGUUUUGUCAAGGCUAGUUGAGAAUCUGAACGCUCAAGUCCCCAUUCCUGGCCAUCCAGAGCCACUGUGGUCCGAGGGUAUGGCUCCUGGGCAGGGGCUACGGUCCCACGCUCCAGCCCAUGGAGGCCUGAUGAACUUAAUCCACACGCUGGUGGCAGCAGUGGUAUUUGAGCUCUUGAGUACGUGUCUUGGUGAUGGGGCUGGGGCAGCCUGCUAGCAAAUCCCAGUGGGUCAGAAAGGACAGAGGCAGGGGAGUGCUCGGUCCCCAGCCCUUCCAGUCUGAGCCAGGUCUGCCUGGGUGGUCACCUCCAAAGGCCAGCCAGGGACUCAGGCACAAGUGGCAGCAUCUCCGGUCAAAGCCUCCCCACUCCUGGGCUGCCAGUCGGCCCACGGAAGGCCGGCAAUGCAGCUUGGGCCCACUCCCCAAACCCCUCCUUGGUCUGAGGACUGUGGGAAGAGGGUGGGGCCUGAACAUCAGCUUUGGCCUCCUGACCCAAAGCAUGAAGCAGGACCAUGGACCAGAGUGGAGUGGGCUUCCUGGGGGCUGGACUCGAGUCUUCUCUGCCUCAGAUGGGGUGGGCCCUGACCUUGAGGGAGCUACACAUGGGUGAGCUGGGGGCUCCCCAGGCCUUGGGGCAUCGGGGGCAGCCAGAAGGGGAGGGCCUAUGGGAUGGCCUGGAGCUGGGGCAGUUGCCAGAAGCUGGUCUCACUCCUAGUAGCCUGGACAGAGGAGCUAAGAGCGAGUGCCGUGUGCAUAGCUGGUGAGGGACACACUCCUGGCCUGGCAGGUCCACUUUCUGCUGUCCUUGUCUCUUGUGCAAACCUUCAGUUUUCGUGAUAAAUCCAAGGGGGCCAGGAGAGCAGGCACAACCCCUGCUCUGGAGGCCCUGCCCUGCCCAUGGCAUCCUCCGAGCAUGCUUUCCUCUGACCCACUGGCUGCACCUGUCGGUUCCUCAAGCCCCCAUCCCCGCCCAGCCCCACUAUGUCCCUGUUCUGUUUAUUUUCAGGACGCAGCUAUCUCUGUGGAGCAGGUGUGGGACAGUCUCCCCGUGACAGUCUUGGGUGGACCUGUUGUCUGUCCUGUUUUAACCCCCACACCCCCCAAGAGGCCUCCCCGUGGCCACCACCGCCACUACCACUUCUCAAUGAUGUGGCUCAUGUAGUCCUCGGUGGGCACGCGGCCCGCCUGUCAGCCCUCUCCCACAGCCUUGUCUGGUGCAGGAGGCCUCGCGGCUCCUCAGGCGCUGCUCCCUGCGCUCCAGCUGCCGCUUGUACUGGUAGCGCUGCUGGAAGAGGUCCUUGGCGUAGUCAUACAGCUGCAUGUCCAGGUCGUUGAGCUCCUCGAUGCGCCGGAUGGUGUCCUCGUCCACC
Macaca fascicularis (crab-eating macaque) is the source of this 2885-nucleotide long non-coding RNA. The record is from Ensembl. Lineage: Eukaryota; Metazoa; Chordata; Mammalia; Primates; Cercopithecidae.